GGAACACUAAGCCAACCAUUUUUCGCUGAGCCAAGAUUACGAAUAAGGAGCGAGGUAUUCUAAGUCUUUCGUUCGGCAGAAGAUGAAGAGAGAAGAUGCCUGAAUGGAGUGGACUUGGAGUGGGGCCGGGAGUCAAUGAAGCCCGGGGAAAUCGAUGGAGGACCAGCGGAAGGGAAACUUGCUGCCAGGAUAAUCAAAGACACGACCCACCCAGCCAACACACUUUUCAUCCCUCUUCCCUCCGGGAGAAGGCUCAGGAGCUUGAAGACUCAUAUGGCCAGAUUUGGGAACAGCUUCUUUCCAACUAUGAUUAAGAGAGAAGAUGCCUGACAGGACAGGUCGUAGCCAUCAGGGUGGAGUGGACUUGGAGUGGGGCCGGGAGUCGACAAAGCCCGGGGAAAUUGAUGGAAGACCAGCGGAAGGAAAACCGUGAGCUCCAACUUGUGCGCAUUAACCUGUUUCAUUAAAAUGGGCCCUGUUCUUUUUGUUUUAUUUUACUGACCCUCUAGUCAAAUUAAGAAUUAUAAAUCUAAACCAUUUAAUUGCAUAUGCUGUACUGUUAUUUUGUGGUACUGAUCUGUAACGGGGUAACACAUCACGCAGCAUCCACACAAACAAGGGGUUUUGCACCUCAGAUUUCACACGUUUGGCGGGUCCAGAGACUGUCUUCCCUAGACUAACACCACCGGCUGAACCUGAGGGUUUCAGGGACAAAAAGACUUGUCACAACCCUAUUGGCAAAUAGAUCAAGGAAGUUCCUCGCAAAGAACUGUCCCAGUAUAAUUGUCUCAUCAGCUCCAGCAAUUUGGCAAAGAACAAUGGACCAAGUGCUCCAAGAUAUCCCAGGAACACAAUGUUACCUUGAUGAUUUUGACUGGCAAACUCACCUCCAGAACCUUGGUAAAGUGCUUUCCAGGCUGACUGAGUAUGGUCUGGACAUAAAGAGAGAGAAAUGUGAGUUUUUCAAGAAUGAAAUCUCAUUGUGGACAUGUUAUUGAUAAGCAUGGUUUACAUAAGUCACAAGAGAAGAUUGAAGGAGUGCUGCAAGCACCCAAACUGAGAAGUGUGUCAUAGCUUGGGUCAUACUUGGGCCUUGGAAUGGUCAGAAAGAUGUGAAAAAGCAUUCUAGGAAGCAGAGAGACUAAUACCAUCAGAUGAACUACUCACCUAUUAUGACCCAUCCCUGUCCAUCAGACUGCUGUGUGAUGCAUCAUUGGAGCUGUUUUGUCACACAUUAUGAAAGAUGGAUCUGAACAUCCGAUUGUGUUUGCGUCAAGAUUACUGACGAGUGCAGAAAACAACUACACACAGAUCGACCGAGAGGCCCUUAGUCUAGUAAGGGGAAUGAAGAAGUUCCACCACUAACUCUACGGACAAAAGUUUAUGCUAGUGACAGAUCACCAGCACCUUGUGUCCAUUUUCAAUCCCAGGAAGGGAAACCCAGUGAUGAUUCUACCCGGUUACAACGUUCGGCAAUUUUCCUAGGAGUCCACUCUUACAACAUAGAG
Long non-coding RNA from Mobula hypostoma (lesser devil ray), 1508 nucleotides. RefSeq lists it as uncharacterized. The transcript has 4 exons. The record is from RefSeq and is a predicted model, not a curated record. NCBI's taxonomy places the organism in Eukaryota, Metazoa, Chordata, Chondrichthyes, Myliobatiformes, Myliobatidae.